GACGAACGCUGGCGGCGUGCUUAACACAUGCAAGUCGAACGCUGAACCCGCUUCGGUGGGGGAUGAGUGGCGAACGGGUGCGUAACACGUGGGCAACCUGCCCCCGGCUCUGGGAUAACUCCAAGAAAUUGGGGCUAAUACCGGAUGUGACCGCUGGCCGCAUGGUCUGGUGGUGGAAAGGGUUUCCGGCUGGGGAUGGGCCCGCGGCCUAUCAGCUUGUUGGUGGGGUAGUGGCCUACCAAGGCGACGACGGGUAGCCGGCCUGAGAGGGUGACCGGCCACACUGGGACUGAGACACGGCCCAGACUCCUACGGGAGGCAGCAGUGGGGAAUAUUGCGCAAUGGGCGGAAGCCUGACGCAGCGACGCCGCGUGGGGGAUGACGGCCUUCGGGUUGUAAACCUCUUUCAGCAGGGACGAAGCGCAAGUGACGGUACCUGCAGAAGAAGCACCGGCCAACUACGUG
Molecule: ribosomal RNA, 465 nt
Filed under: uncultured bacterium
Lineage: Bacteria
Description: partial 16S ribosomal RNA
Rfam family: Bacterial small subunit ribosomal RNA
Source: RNAcentral